UACGAAGGGUGCAAACGUUGCUCGGAAUUAUUGGGCGUAAAGCGCACGUAGGCGGCUUGGCAAGUCGGAUGUGAAAUCCCUCGGCUCAACCAAGGAAGUGCAUCCGAAACUGCUGAGCUUGAGUACGAAAGAGGAUCGCGGAAUUCCCGGUGUAGAGGUGAAAUUCGUAGAUAUCGGAAGGAACGCCGGUGGCGAAAGCGACGUGCUGGACCUCUUCUGACGCUGAGGCGCGAAAGCUAGGGGAGCAAACGGG
Molecule: ribosomal RNA, 253 nt
Filed under: uncultured bacterium
Lineage: Bacteria
Description: partial 16S ribosomal RNA
Rfam family: Bacterial small subunit ribosomal RNA
Source: RNAcentral